Molecule: ribosomal RNA, 465 nt
Filed under: uncultured bacterium
Lineage: Bacteria
Description: partial 16S ribosomal RNA
Rfam family: Bacterial small subunit ribosomal RNA
Source: RNAcentral
CUACGGGCGGCACCAGUGAGGAAUAUUGCGCAAUGGGGGAAACCCUGACGCAGCGACGCCGCGUGGAUGAUGAAGGCCUUCGGGUCGUAAAAUCCUGUCAGAAGGAAAGAAGUGUAUGGUAGCUAAUAUCUGCCAUACUUGACGGUACCUUCAAAGGAAGCACCGGCUAACUCCGUGCCAGCAGCCGCGGUAAUACGGAGGGUGCAAGCGUUGUUCGGAAUUACUGGGCGUAAAGCGCGCGUAGGCGGUUUUAUAAGUCAGAUGUGAAAGUCCACGGCUCAACCAUGGAAGUGCAUUUGAAACUGUAAGACUUGAUUAUUGGAGGGGGUAGUGGAAUUCCCGGUGUAGAGGUGAAAUUCGUAGAUAUCGGGAGGAAUACCGGUGGCGAAGGCGACUAUCUGGCCAAAUACUGACGCUGAGGUGCGAAAGCGUGGGGAGCAAACAGGAUUAGAUACCCUCGUAGUC